AACGAGCGUUAGCGGCGCGCUUAACACAUGCAAGUCGAGCGAGAAGGGGGCAACCCCAGUAAAGCGGCGCACGGGUGAGUAACACGUAGGUAAUUUACCUCGAGGUGGUGGAUAACCUUCCGAAAGGAGGGCUAAUACAGCAUGAGACCACGUCUUCGAAAGAGGAUGAGGUUAAAGCGGGCCUCUAUACAUAAGCUCGCGCCACGAGAUGAGCCUGCGGCCCAUCAUGGUAGUUGGUAGGGUAAUGGCCUACCAAGCCGAAGACGGGUAGCUGGUCUGAGAGGAUGAUCAGCCACACUGGAACUGAGACACGGUCCAGACUCCUACGGGAGGCAGCAGUGGGGAAUCUUGCGCAAUGGGCGAAAGCCUGACGCAGCGACGCCGCGUGAGUGAUGAAGGCCCUCGGGUUGUAAAGCUCUGUGGAGGGGGACGAAUAAGGGUUGGUGAAUAUCCAGCUCGAUGACGGUACCCCUUUAGCAAGCACCGGCUAACUCUGUCG
This 499-nucleotide ribosomal RNA is filed under the name uncultured bacterium. Its description in RNAcentral is "bacterial SSU rRNA". It matches the Rfam family "Bacterial small subunit ribosomal RNA", at positions 29 to 508 of the family's 1533-position model. The record is from RNAcentral.